This 428-nucleotide long non-coding RNA is filed under the name Bos taurus (domestic cattle). RNAcentral describes it as "long non-coding RNA NONBTAT001116". Lineage: Eukaryota; Metazoa; Chordata; Mammalia; Artiodactyla; Bovidae. The record is from RNAcentral.
AGAAGCAGGUUUGUUUUUUUAGUUACUUUUAUUUUGUCUUUAGUUACAUAUUAGAAAGAGUAUUCAUGAUAAAACAUUUUGAGAAGGGUUAGAUAGUUACUAUCUUAUCUACAAUUUCAAAUAAAUUUUCAAUAAUUGACUUCAAGCUAGAUAUCUCCUAAAAAAAUGUAUCAGUUUUCUAUCAAUGUUACAAAUGAUGAGACAUUUUUCUGUGAUGAGGUUUUAACCGUUAUUCAGGAAUGGUUGGAAUUUUGGUGUUCUAAGAAACAAUUUAUUUUACAUAAGCAUGUAUGUGGUCGAAUCAUUUUCUGUGUAUGCAGCCUGAGCCUGAAAAGGAUUUCAGGUAUUAUGCUUGUUUAGUACCUGUACAUUUACUUAAAAUAAUUUUUUUUGUUUUGAUUUUUGUCAUGUAGAAUACUGCCUUGGUC